GAUGAACGCUAGCGAUAGGCCUAACACAUGCAAGUCGAGGGGCAUCACAUGAAGUAGCAAUACGGAUGGUGGCGACCGGCGCACGGGUGAGUAACACGUAUGCAACCUGCCUUCAACAAGGGGAUAACCCGUUGAAAGACGGACUAAUACCCUAUAACACAGGGGUCCCGCAUGGGAAUAUUUGUUAAAGAUUGAUCGGUUGAAGAUGGGCAUGCGUUCCAUUAGCUGGUUGGUGAGGUAACGGCUUACCAAGGCAACGAUGGAUAGGGGAACUGAGAGGUUUAUCCCCCACACUGGUACUGAGACACGGACCAGACUCCUACGGGAGGCAGCAGUGAGGAAUAUUGGUCAAUGGACGCAAGUCUGAACCAGCCACGUCGCGUGAAGGAAGACGGCCCUACGGGUUGUAAACUUCUUUUGUAAGGGAAUAAAGUGUAGUACGCGUACUAU
RNAcentral lists this ribosomal RNA (450 nucleotides) under uncultured bacterium. RNAcentral's name for it is "bacterial SSU rRNA". It matches the Rfam family "Bacterial small subunit ribosomal RNA", at positions 28 to 470 of the family's 1533-position model. The record is from RNAcentral.